GACGAACGCUGGCGGCGUGCCUAAUACGUGCAAGUCGAGCGAGCUUGCCUAGAUGAAUUUGGUGCUUGCACCAGAUGAAACUAGAUACAAGCGAGCGGCGGACGGGUGAGUAACACGUGGGUAACCUGCCCAAGAGACUGGGAUAACACCUGGAAACAGAUGCUAAUACCGGAUAACAACACUAGACGCAUGUCUAGAGUUUAAAAGAUGGUUCUGCUAUCACUCUUGGAUGGACCUGCGGUGCAUUAGCUAGUUGGUAAGGCAACGGCUUACCAAGGCAAUGAUGCAUAGCCGAGUUGAGAGACUGAUCGGCCACAUUGGGACUGAGACACGGCCCAAACUCCUACGGGAGGCAGCAGUAGGGAAUCUUCCACAAUGGACGCAAGUCUGAUGGAGCAACGCCGCGUGAGUGAAGAAGGGUUUCGGCUCGUAAAGCUCUGUUGGUAGUGAAGAAAGAUAGAGGUAGUAACUGGCCUUUAUUUGACGGUAAUUACUUAGAAAGUCACGGCUAACUACGUG
RNAcentral lists this ribosomal RNA (519 nucleotides) under uncultured bacterium. RNAcentral describes it as "partial 16S ribosomal RNA". It matches the Rfam family "Bacterial small subunit ribosomal RNA", at positions 28 to 507 of the family's 1533-position model. The record is from RNAcentral.